AUCCAGCUGUCGAGUCUCGAAUAGGACGAAACGCGCUUCAAGCUGGAU
This 48-nucleotide non-coding RNA is filed under the name Schistosoma mansoni. The record is from RNAcentral. Lineage: Eukaryota; Metazoa; Platyhelminthes; Trematoda; Strigeidida; Schistosomatidae.